Molecule: non-coding RNA, 28 nt
Filed under: Mus musculus (house mouse)
Lineage: Eukaryota; Metazoa; Chordata; Mammalia; Rodentia; Muridae
Source: RNAcentral
UCCAGUGCUAAGAGUUGGUGGGGAUGUU